This 92-nucleotide non-coding RNA is filed under the name Paenibacillus wynnii. RNAcentral describes it as "c-di-GMP sequence". It matches the Rfam family "c-di-GMP-I riboswitch aptamer". Rfam says of the family: GEMM was predicted in a large-scale screen for bacterial structured RNA regulatory elements. The record is from Rfam by way of RNAcentral. Lineage: Bacteria; Bacillati; Bacillota; Bacilli; Caryophanales; Paenibacillaceae.
CCGCGUUAAAGGUAAAAUCAUCGAAAGAUGAUGACACAAAGCCAUGGGUCUAAAGCCAACUAAUAGAAGGCUAUGAUUGCCAGGCCGCCAAA